RNAcentral lists this ribosomal RNA (334 nucleotides) under uncultured eukaryote. RNAcentral describes it as "partial 18S ribosomal RNA". It matches the Rfam family "Eukaryotic small subunit ribosomal RNA", at positions 1470 to 1796 of the family's 1831-position model. The record is from RNAcentral.
CCCUUAGAUGUCCGGGGCCGCACGCGCGCUACACUGAAGGAAUCAGCGUGGCUUUCUCCCUGACCCGAAAGGGUUGGGAAACCCGUUGAAUCUCCUUCGUGAUAGGGAUUGGGGCUUGAAAUUGUUCCCCAUGAACGAGGAAUUCCCAGUAAGCGCGAGUCAUAAGCUCGCGUUGAUUACGUCCCUGCACUUUGUACACACCGCCCGUCGCUACUACCGAUUGAACGGUUUAGUGAGGGCCUCGGAUUGGUCUCGGCCCGCUCUUUACCGGGCGGCGCCGUUGGUCGAGAAGACGCUCGAACUUGAUCGUUUAGAGGAAGUAAAAGUCGUAACA